RNAcentral lists this ribosomal RNA (486 nucleotides) under uncultured bacterium. Its description in RNAcentral is "partial 16S ribosomal RNA". It matches the Rfam family "Bacterial small subunit ribosomal RNA", at positions 30 to 507 of the family's 1533-position model. The record is from RNAcentral.
AUUGAACGCUGGCGGCAUGCCUUACACAUGCAAGUCGAACGGCAGCACGGGUGCUUGCACCUGGUGGCGAGUGGCGAACGGGUGAGUAAUACAUCGGAACAUGUCCUGUAGUGGGGGAUAGCCCGGCGAAAGCCGGAUUAAUACCGCAUACGAUCUACGGAUGAAAGCGGGGGACCUUCGGGCCUCGCGCUAUAGGGUUGGCCGAUAGCUGAUUAGCUAGUUGGGGGGGUAAAGGCCUACCAAGGCGACGAUCAGUAGCUGGUCUGAGAGGACGACCAGCCACACUGGGGCUGAGACACGGCCCAGACUCCUACGGGAGGCAGCAGUGGGGAAUUUUGGACAAUGGGCGAAAGCCUGAUCCAGCAAUGCCGCGUGUGUGAAGAAGGCCUUCGGGUUGUAAAGCACUUUUGUCCGGAAAGAAAUCCUUGGCUCUAAUACAGUCGGGGGAUGACGGUACCGGAAGAAUAAGCACCGGCUAACUACGUG